UUUUCUUUCUAGUUGCAUUUAGAGAAAAGUGGACAAAACAAUUCGGGGAAGUAGCAUUUAAGCCCAUCACUCACUGUUGCUUGUGCAAGGGAGUAUCACAUAAAAAGACGACAUUUCCUUCUUUUGGAGUAUCCAUUCCUCACUUGUCACAGCUCUGCAUGGGGAACUUUUAUGAAAAUCUUCUUAUUAUGUUCUUCUUUUGCAGAACGGCUUAAAAGUCGGGAAAGAUUUAACGGUUGAGCAGAGUUUCGAGGACCUAGAAAACAGUUUUGAACCAGGUGAAACCUUCAGUUUCAGUGCAGUUGUGCAACUGCUGGAAUGAAACGAGCCAGGCAGUGUCUUGAUUAUGAUGCUCAGCAUUUUUAGGAGAAUCAAGAAAAUUAUACAUGAAGGGCAUCCAUUUAAAAUGAGGAAAGCAUGAAUCGAAUUUUUUUUCAUAUGAGCGGCUGAGUGGCUCGUGAAUUUUUUGCAAUUUUUCAAGUGAGCAGUCAAGUAUGGGGAAAACACCUGAAGAUGUCAUUUGAGUGGUGAUACGGAACAUUGCGGGGAAGUAGAAUUGCUACCUAUUGGAAAGAUAUUGCUUCUCUUCUCAACUCCUAGGCUUGAUAGAUGGGACAGAGACUGUGAUCCAACGGAUUGUACGUUGAUCAUCGUCAUCAUAAGUACUACCAAAUUUUCAGUGUCAAUGAUACAGGUCUCACACCAAAUUCACAGAGUAGUUGCAUUGAUAAAGCUACAGGCUACAGCCCAAGUUCGCCCCGCUAUUCUCUUUGAGCGAAAACGGAUUUUACCCCUAUCCCAGAUGCAUC
This 809-nucleotide long non-coding RNA is filed under the name Eucalyptus grandis. RNAcentral describes it as "long non-coding RNA (EGRA_LNC000005)". The record is from RNAcentral. Lineage: Eukaryota; Viridiplantae; Streptophyta; Magnoliopsida; Myrtales; Myrtaceae.